This 494-nucleotide ribosomal RNA is filed under the name uncultured bacterium. Its description in RNAcentral is "bacterial SSU rRNA". It matches the Rfam family "Bacterial small subunit ribosomal RNA", at positions 28 to 511 of the family's 1533-position model. The record is from RNAcentral.
GAUGAACGCUAGCUACAGGCUUAACACAUGCAAGUCGAGGGGCAGCAUGGUCUUAGCUUGCUAAGGCCGAUGGCGACCGGCGCACGGGUGAGUAACACGUAUCCAACCUGCCGUCUACUCUUGGACAGCCUUCUGAAAGGAAGAUUAAUACAAGAUGGCAUCAUGAGUCCGCAUGUUCACAUGAUUAAAGGUAUUCCGGUAGACGAUGGGGAUGCGUUCCAUUAGAUAGUAGGCGGGGUAACGGCCCACCUAGUCUUCGAUGGAUAGGGGUUCUGAGAGGAAGGUCCCCCACAUUGGAACUGAGACACGGUCCAAACUCCUACGGGAGGCAGCAGUGGGGAAUAUUGGUCAAUGGGCGAGAGCCUGAACCAGCCAAGUAGCGUGAAGGAUGACUGCCCUAUGGGUUGUAAACUUCUUUUAUAAAGGAAUAAAGUCGGGUAUGGAUACCCGUUUGCAUGUACUUUAUGAAUAAGGAUCGGCUAACUCCGUGCCAG